This 724-nucleotide ribosomal RNA is filed under the name Curtobacterium sp. RNAcentral's name for it is "bacterial SSU rRNA". It matches the Rfam family "Bacterial small subunit ribosomal RNA", at positions 679 to 1401 of the family's 1533-position model. Lineage: Bacteria; Bacillati; Actinomycetota; Actinomycetes; Micrococcales; Microbacteriaceae. The record is from RNAcentral.
CGGUGGAAUGCGCAGAUAUCAGGAGGAACACCGAUGGCGAAGGCAGAUCUCUGGGCCGUAACUGACGCUGAGGAGCGAAAGCAUGGGGAGCGAACAGGAUUAGAUACCCUGGUAGUCCAUGCCGUAAACGUUGGGCGCUAGAUGUAGGGACCUUUCCACGGUUUCUGUGUCGUAGCUAACGCAUUAAGCGCCCCGCCUGGGGAGUACGGCCGCAAGGCUAAAACUCAAAGGAAUUGACGGGGGCCCGCACAAGCGGCGGAGCAUGCGGAUUAAUUCGAUGCAACGCGAAGAACCUUACCAAGGCUUGACAUACACCGGAAACGGCCAGAGAUGGUCGCCCCCUUGUGGUCGGUGUACAGGUGGUGCAUGGUUGUCGUCAGCUCGUGUCGUGAGAUGUUGGGUUAAGUCCCGCAACGAGCGCAACCCUCGUUCUAUGUUGCCAGCGGGUUAUGCCGGGGACUCAUAGGAGACUGCCGGGGUCAACUCGGAGGAAGGUGGGGAUGACGUCAAAUCAUCAUGCCCCUUAUGUCUUGGGCUUCACGCAUGCUACAAUGGCCGGUACAAAGGGCUGCGAUACCGUAAGGUGGAGCGAAUCCCAAAAAGCCGGUCUCAGUUCGGAUUGAGGUCUGCAACUCGACCUCAUGAAGUCGGAGUCGCUAGUAAUCGCAGAUCAGCAACGCUGCGGUGAAUACGUUCCCGGGCCUUGUACACACCGCCCGUCAAG